GGCGGGUUCGUCUAGCGGCCCAGGACGGGUGGUUUUCAUCCACCAAACCACGGGUUCGAAUCCCGUACACGCUACAA
RNAcentral lists this transfer RNA (77 nucleotides) under Candidatus Gottesmanbacteria bacterium RIFCSPHIGHO2_01_FULL_39_10. RNAcentral describes it as "tRNA-Glu". It matches the Rfam family "tRNA". Rfam says of the family: Transfer RNA (tRNA) molecules are approximately 80 nucleotides in length. Their secondary structure includes four short double-helical elements and three loops (D, anti-codon, and T loops). The record is from RNAcentral. Lineage: Bacteria; Candidatus Gottesmaniibacteriota.